RNAcentral lists this ribosomal RNA (142 nucleotides) under uncultured eukaryote. Its description in RNAcentral is "partial 18S ribosomal RNA". It matches the Rfam family "Eukaryotic small subunit ribosomal RNA", at positions 1299 to 1458 of the family's 1831-position model. The record is from RNAcentral.
UGGUGGAGUGAUUUGUCUGGUUAAUUCCGUUAACGAACGAGACCUCGACCUGCUAAAUAGUUCGGCGAAUCCUUCGGGAUUCGACCGUGACUUCUUAGAGGGACUAUCGGUGUGUAGCCGAUGGAAGUUCGAGGCAAUAACA